UCUGACCAGCGACGCCGCGUGCGGGAUGAAGGCCUUCGGGUUGUAAACCGCUUUCAGUAGGGAAGAAGCGAAAGUGACGGUACCUACAAAAGAAGCACCGGCUAACUAUGUGCCAGCAGCCGCGGUAAUACAUAGGGUGCAAGCGUUGUCCGGAAUUAUUGGGCGUAAAGAGCUCGUAGGUCGUUUGUUACGUCGGAUGUGAAAACCUGAGGCUCAACCUCAGGCCUGCAUUCGAUACGGGCAAACUAGAGUUUGGUAGGGGAGACUGGAAUUCCUGGUGUAGCGGUGGAAUGCGCAGAUAUCAGGAGGAACACCAAUGGCGAAGGCAGGUCUCUGGGCCAAUACUGACACUGAGGAGCGAAAGUCUGGGGAGCGAACAGGAUUAGAUACCCUGGUAGUCCAGACCGUAAACGGUGGGCACUAGUUGUGGGAACCUUCCACGGUUUCUGCGACGCAGCUAACGCAUUAAGUGCCCCGCCUGGGGAGUACGAUCGCAAGAU
Molecule: ribosomal RNA, 500 nt
Filed under: Rhodococcus sp. SDB1
Lineage: Bacteria; Bacillati; Actinomycetota; Actinomycetes; Mycobacteriales; Nocardiaceae
Description: bacterial SSU rRNA
Rfam family: Bacterial small subunit ribosomal RNA
Source: RNAcentral